This 253-nucleotide ribosomal RNA is filed under the name uncultured bacterium. RNAcentral's name for it is "partial 16S ribosomal RNA". It matches the Rfam family "Bacterial small subunit ribosomal RNA", at positions 524 to 776 of the family's 1533-position model. The record is from RNAcentral.
UACGGAGGAUGCAAGCGUUAUCCGGAAUUAUUGGGCGUAAAGGGUCCGCAGGUGGCUAUUCAAGUCUGCUGUCAAAGCAUGGAGCUUAACUCCAUAAAGGCAGUGGAAACUGGAGAGCUAGAGUUCGGUAGGGGUCACGGGAAUUCCCAGUGUAGCGGUGAAAUGCGUAGAUAUUGGGAAGAACACCAGCGGCGAAGGCGCGUGACUGGGCCGAGACUGACACUGAGGGACGAAAGCUAGGGGAGCGAAAGGG